This 424-nucleotide ribosomal RNA is filed under the name crenarchaeote SCGC AAA008-P02. RNAcentral's name for it is "SSU rRNA". It matches the Rfam family "Archaeal small subunit ribosomal RNA", at positions 464 to 891 of the family's 1478-position model. Lineage: Archaea; Thermoproteati; Thermoproteota. The record is from RNAcentral.
GCCGCGGUAAAACCAGCACCUCAAGUGGUCAGGAGGAUUAUUGGGCCUAAAGCAUCCGUAGCCGGCUCUGUAAGUUUUCGGUUAAAUUCAUGUGCUCAACGCAUGAGCCGCCGAAAAUACUGCAUAGCUAGGGAGUGGGAGAGGUAGACGGUACUCAGUAGGAAGGGGUAAAAUCCUUUGAUCUAUUGAUGACCACCUGUGGCGAAGGCGGUCUACCAGAACACGUUCGACGGUGAGGGAUGAAAGCUGGGGGAGCAAACCGGAUUAGAUACCCGGGUAGUCCCAGCUGUAAACGAUGCAGACUCGAUGAUGCAUUGGCAUAUAGCCAGUGCAGUGUCGCAGGGAAGCCGUUAAGUCUGCCGCCUGGGAAGUACGUACGCAAGUAUAAACUUAAAGGAAUUGGCGGGGGAAGUUGAAUCCCAGG